CUCUGUCACCCAGGCUGGAGUGCAGUGACGCAAUCUCGGCUCACUGCAACCUCCACCUCCCGGGUUCACGCCAUUCUCCUGCCUCAGCCUCCCCAGCAGCUGGGACUGCAGGCACCCGCCACCACGCCUGGCUAAUUUUUUUUGUAUUUUUGGUAGAGAGGGGGUUUCCCCGUGUUAGCCAGGAUGGUCUCGAUCUCCUGACCUCGUGAUCCGCCCGCCUCAGCCUCCCAAAGUGCUGGGAUUA
Molecule: long non-coding RNA, 244 nt
Filed under: Homo sapiens (human)
Lineage: Eukaryota; Metazoa; Chordata; Mammalia; Primates; Hominidae
Description: HSALNT0359916
Source: RNAcentral